UGGGGAAUAUUGCACAAUGGGCGCAAGCCUGAUGCAGCCAUGCCGCGUGUAUGAAGAAGGCCUUCGGGUUGUAAAGUACUUUCAGCGGGGAGGAAGGCGAUAAGGUUAAUAACCUUGUCGAUUGACGUUACCCGCAGAAGAAGCACCGGCUAACUCCGUGCCAGCAGCCGCGGUAAUACGGAGGGUGCAAGCGUUAAUCGGAAUUACUGGGCGUAAAGCGCACGCAGGCGGUCUGUCAAGUCGGAUGUGAAAGCCCCGGGCUCAACCGGGGAAGUGCAUUCGAAACUGGCAGGCUAGAGUCUUGUAGAGGGGGGUAGAAUUCCAGGUGUAGCGGUGAAAUGCGUAGAGAUCUGGAGGAAUACCGGUGGCGAAGGCGGCCACCUGGACAAAGACUGACGCUCAGGUGCGAAAGCGUGGGGAGCAAACA
This 427-nucleotide ribosomal RNA is filed under the name uncultured bacterium. RNAcentral's name for it is "partial 16S ribosomal RNA". It matches the Rfam family "Bacterial small subunit ribosomal RNA", at positions 355 to 774 of the family's 1533-position model. The record is from RNAcentral.